UCUCUUCCUAUAAUGUCGGAGCCUUCCACAACAGAGAUUUCCCUUGGUACUAGUGGACAGGAGAAACAUAAGUCAGGAACUUCAUCUCUUCCAGUAUCAUUGGAUCCGUCCACAAUAACUCAACAAACUCAGGCCCAAACAAAUCUCGCCAGCAAGGAUAUUCUUCCUCAACAAACUCAGGCCACAACAAACAUCGCCAACAAGGAUAUUCUGUCUC
This 217-nucleotide long non-coding RNA is filed under the name Musa acuminata (dwarf banana). RNAcentral describes it as "long non-coding RNA (MACU_LNC010854)". Lineage: Eukaryota; Viridiplantae; Streptophyta; Magnoliopsida; Zingiberales; Musaceae. The record is from RNAcentral.